AUGGCCCUAGUGUGUGCCACCCUCAGCUACUCUGGCACUACCUUCCCAUGUAAGUAUCUGGGUCUUCCACUGUUGAUCCGUAAACACACGGCUGCGCAGUUCCAAGGGCUCGUUGACCAGUUCGCAACGCGUUUACCCCACUGGAAGGCGGAGACCCUCCCGAAGAGUAGUCAGGCUUUGCUGGUACAAUCUGUCCUCUCCGCAAUUCUGAUCCACUCGACGCUAGCUCUUGACCUCCCUCCGAGGACCAUUGCCACCAUGAUUAAGAUCUAACGUGACUUCCUAUGGGCUGGCAAGGCAGACGCGGGAGGAGGUGCUUGUGCUGUGGCCUGGGAGAGGGUGUGCACACCCAAGUCGGCCGGUGGCCUAGUUAUCUUGGACAUGAGGUGGAUGAAUGUGGCCCUCCAGACCAAGUGGCUUUGGUUGCAACGGACUGAUCAGAAUAGGCCUUGGUCAGAGUUCUUGUUCUCUGUACUGAAGGAAUCGAGGCAAAUAUUCCAGGAGGCGACCCGAGCGGUCGUGGGUGAUGGGCGAGGCACACUAUUAUGGGAGGAUAGAUGGCUUAAUGGAUGUCAGUUGUAG
Molecule: ribosomal RNA, 582 nt
Filed under: Triticum aestivum (bread wheat)
Lineage: Eukaryota; Viridiplantae; Streptophyta; Magnoliopsida; Poales; Poaceae
Description: partial small subunit ribosomal RNA
Source: RNAcentral